UAUGAUGUUAUAAUGUGGCCCAUCGCUCCAAUGUCCACAUGCAACUGCCAGCUGAGCUGUGCUGUUUGCUCGCUGCCAUUCACAGAGCUUGGCUAUCUCCUACAUGCAGCAGUGCAGCACAGGCUUGCAGGGCAUCCCUCUGCUUUUCCACAUCAAAUGAGAAGGGUGCAUGGAUACAAAACCCCAUCAGUUGGGAGUAAAACUGCAUGGCAAGAGAAGGGGGUAACCCCAACAGUGAGCCCCAGGGCUCUGCCUGCUGUCAGCAUCGCUUCCCAGGAGAAUGAGGACUGCAUGCAGCUGUGCCACAUCUGGAUUCACAGACCUGGCUGGUGGCAAGCAAGUGCCCAAGGUCUGGAGGAUCACAGCAGUGCAAGGCUCACAUCCAGCCCUUCUGUGCAGGACAGAGCAGCCUGGAGCCCAUACAACAUCAGUCUCACACACCGACCAGCUCCUCCACAGCAGCCAAAGGAAAUUGGUCUGAAGAGCGUUAAUCAAGCUAUGAAAAUCAUUGGCAGCUCGCAUCUUGAUGAGGAGAACCCAGCUUGUGUUCAGAGGCACCUGGGGAGGAGCUGUUCUCCCACCACCAGAGCUCACCGCAUGCACAUGGGGAUAAAUGAAGGCUUUGCUGCUCUCCCAGCCUGUAAAUGAGCCCUGCAUAGAAUCUCAGAAUCAUUCAGACCCACCCUACCAGGACGCGAUGUGUGCUGACCCUACAGAAUCACUGCAGCGAUCCAGGAACCAAAGCGACUUUCUGUAGCAGUUCCUUCCAUGUUAUUUUAGCAGCUGCUGUCUUACAGACUGCUGGAGUAAGAGAUUAAUGCUUUAAUUAUACCAUCUGAAAGCCGGGAGGCUGAGCGUUCCAAUGGUAUACAGCACUGACUCCUGGCACCGGCAGAUCUGGAGGGAGUACGCACUAAAAUCGAGCUGGAGUCCAAGUGAGGAAUAAAAGUGGAAAACGUAGUAAGACAGUAAUCAGAAUAAUGUGAUUUUAAUGCUCAAUAUCUCACAACCAGCUGGGGCUGGAAAUUAAAGCUUCGUGCUCGUUGCAAGUGGGGGAUCCUGUCUUGCAAAGACUUUCCUACUCUUAUCGUGGCUUUCCCAAGGUUGGGGUUGACAAAGCCGGCCCCGCUCCUGUCAGCCUGCACACGAGGAGGCAAAUGUCUCUCUCAUCUGCUCUGCACUUGGCUUUUCUCCUCCGUUUUCAUAUCAGAGGGGUUGGAGGCUAUAGCAGGACUGCCUCUCCUGCUUCUAUUUUCUCGCCGCGCUGUGAUCUCGACUGGAACGCGGUGUGCGAGCGACUAAUUCCUUCCCCUCAGCUGUGGGGUCCGUCUGUAGCACGUGGGGCUUCUGUGCUCUGCCACUUCCCUUCCCAACGCACAGCUGAGCAGGAGAAUGGUGCAAAUCAACCUUUUCAGAGCCGCAUUCAUCUUUCCUUGGCGCUUUUCAAUCGCGGAGCUUUGCAGCCGGCACAGAGCUGAGGCUGCCCUUGCUUUGCAAAGGAUGCUCACGGGCUGCAUCCCCAAAGCUGUGGGCAGGGAAAAGCUGAGCAUGGAAACAUCCGCGCCCUGCACAGCUGAAACCGGAGCAAAUCCUGCCCUCGUGGCCAAACCAGCUCAGACUUCUCAGAUUUCCAAGGUUUUCUGCACUGAAAGCUGCUCCUAUGCCCCAAGAGCAGGCCUGCUGGGUCUGCCUGCCUGUUUGUUCUGAAAGAGUUGCAUCGGGAAACACUACAGAAUCAAAACAUCAGCUCUGCACAGGUCAGGAUUCAGUUUCUGCAAUGCAACAUCAGGCGUGCAGCAGGAGCACAGCCCACAGAUCCUCCAGAACACAGCCUUGGGCACAGCAAACUGGCACUAAUAACGAUCAAAAAGAAAACUUUGGGCUCUC
Non-coding RNA from Meleagris gallopavo (turkey), 1887 nucleotides. NCBI's taxonomy places the organism in Eukaryota, Metazoa, Chordata, Aves, Galliformes, Phasianidae. The record is from RefSeq and is a predicted model, not a curated record.